UUAACGUACGUUACAUUUGCACAUAACGUACUUAAACUGGUUUUGAUAAUUUUCUCUCCUCAGAAAAUCCAGUAUGACUUCUCUGAAAGUCUCAAAAGCUUCACAGAGCAGCACCAUCAGUUAAUGAAGAAAUGUGGCUCUGUAGUGGACACCUGUGAGGCAGUGGACAGCUGCUGAAGUCUGAUGCUGGUUGACAAUAAACAGACCUCUCUGGACAUACCCCAUAUUUUGCAGAGAAAUUAUACCAUUGCCCUUCCUGUUACAUGAUGAUCCUGCUGUCCUGGACUGUAUAUGAUGAGCCUACACAUAAUCUCAGAACAGCUGUGGUGAUGCGUUUCAGCGGCCAUCAGCAUCGUAAAUCCUCCCCAUUGUUUUAUAUUUUGAUUUUUUUUUUAAUUAUGUGGAAAAAAAAUAGCUAAUGCAAGGGUGUUUCAAAUCCAGAGUCUUUGGGAGGAAUGAUAAAUUUGACAUUGUUCUCUCUUCUGACUGCUGUUAUCAGUCUGUGUCAGAUUUUUUCCUUUGAUUGAAAGUUGUGAAAAUGCUAUCUUUAGAGUUUAUGUUUUGUUAUUUGAGUAAAUGAGAAUGCAAAAAUAUAUUUGUGAUACUCUGCCAUUCACUGCUCUCGAAGUUAUUCUUCCAAUCAGUUACCACAAUUUAGAACAGGAAAGAAAAUGUUACUAUGAAUUGCAUUGUGUCUAAAAUUGAAUUGAAUUUAUUAAUUUAAAUUGUAUCAUUGUUUUAGGUACAUGAAAUGUUUUUUUAAAGUUCUAAGAUAAUUGAGUCCCAUUUAUUUGAUAAUAAUUUUACCAAGGUGUAAAUUUUUUUGUUGUUGUUGUUAUUUGUUUAUAGCAAUAUUAACACUGAUGUGUCCAUGAAUGGGAUUGUGAUGUGCAGUAUUGACUAUUUAAGGUGAUUAUGGAUAUUGUUGUUGCUUAUCAAUAAACUAUGUUUUAUAUGCA
Carassius gibelio (silver crucian carp) is the source of this 959-nucleotide long non-coding RNA. RefSeq lists it as uncharacterized. The record is from RefSeq and is a predicted model, not a curated record. NCBI's taxonomy places the organism in Eukaryota, Metazoa, Chordata, Actinopteri, Cypriniformes, Cyprinidae. The transcript is spliced from 4 exons.